Chelonia mydas (Green sea turtle) is the source of this 814-nucleotide long non-coding RNA. RefSeq lists it as uncharacterized. Lineage: Eukaryota; Metazoa; Chordata; Testudines; Cheloniidae. The record is from RefSeq and is a predicted model, not a curated record. The transcript has 3 exons.
ACAUUCCUGGUGGAGAUUUUUGGAGCUGAACAACAGAGGAUAAGCCAGCCAGCAUGGGACCAACAGCAUUGUAAGAGCAGCAUGAGAAGAUCUGUGCAGCAGAUCAAACUGACUUGGAGCACAAAGGAGGUCGCGAUGUAAUUUAUCCACCUACAUGAAAGAGGCUUUUUUUGCUGAUGCUUUCCUCCUGGGAGCUGAAUGCUGCUUGAAUCAUCCGUCCAGGGUGACAUGUGUAAAUAGAACUGGACGCUGGCCAACAUAUUGAAACAAGAAGAAAUUAAAAGACUUAGGAGGUGGCUGAAAGGCUCAGCGGAGUAACCUCUAGGCGGGGAGAGCUGGAGUGAACUGACGUGAGUGAGGAACUAUUUCAAGGCUUACUAAAAAAAAAAAAAAGGCCAAUUAUAAAUUGUUCCCUUCUGACAGUGGAAGGUUUAGCAAACAGCAACCGGGAUGAAAGUGAAUGUGAGGGUAGGAAUCUCCAGGAAUGUGCCUGGAAGGGGUUCUCUGUAGGGACUGAACUUCUGGUUCUAAAGCACAAGCAUCAACAAGCUGAGCAAAAGGACCGUGGGGGUAGCUCGGAGGCAGUAGCAGACUCAUAAAACCUCUAUACUUGGUCUUGGCUCUAGAGCAGUGGUUCAUUUUCAGGGCUCUUCUGGAUUCUGCCCAGAAGCUUUAGACUUGAGCGGUACGUCCACACUGCAGCCUCCUUUCGGCGGUGUGUAGAGUACACACACUACACACACCCCUAGCAUGGGACCGUCCCCACUCACGGGGUCCCAAAGCCCGGACCCAAACAUCCACACCACAGUCUUAC